Molecule: ribosomal RNA, 496 nt
Filed under: uncultured bacterium
Lineage: Bacteria
Description: partial 16S ribosomal RNA
Rfam family: Bacterial small subunit ribosomal RNA
Source: RNAcentral
GAUGAACGCUGGCGGCGUGCCUAAUACAUGCAAGUCGAGCGAACAGACGAGGAGCUUGCUCCUCUGACGUUAGCGGCGGACGGGUGAGUAACACGUGGAUAACCUACCUAUAAGACUGGGAUAACUUCGGGAAACCGGAGCUAAUACCGGAUAAUAUAUUGAACCGCAUGGAUCAAUAGUGAAAGACGGUUUUGCUGUCACUUAUAGAUGGAUCCGCGCCGCAUUAGCUAGUUGGUAAGGUAACGGCUUACCAAGGCAACGAUGCGUAGCCGACCUGAGAGGGGGAUCGGCCACACUGAAACUGAGACACGGCCCAACCCCCAACGGGAGGCAGAGGGAGGGAAUCUGCAGAAAUGGGCGAAAGCUUGACGGAGCAACGCGGCGGGAGUGAUGAAGGCCUUCGGUUGGUAAACCUCUGUUAUGAGGGAAAAACAAAUGUGUAAGUAACUAUGCACGUCUGGAGGGUACCUAAGCAGAAAGAACGGCUAACUACGUG